RNAcentral lists this long non-coding RNA (1210 nucleotides) under Anolis carolinensis (green anole). RNAcentral describes it as "lncRNA (ENSACAG00000039185.1)". The record is from RNAcentral. Lineage: Eukaryota; Metazoa; Chordata; Lepidosauria; Squamata; Anolidae.
AGGAUAUAAAUAAAGAUUUAUUAUUUAUAUUACCCUGUUUUCCCCAAAAUAAGACAGUGUCUUAUAUUAAUUUUUGCUCUCAAAGAUGCACUAGGUCUUAUUUUCAGGGGAUGUCUUACAUUUCCAUGAAGAAGAAUUCACAUUUAUUGUUGAACAAAAAAUGAACAUUUAUUAUAUACUGUACUGUAGUUUUAAUCACAAACCAGCAUAACCAGACAAACUGUGAAUCCUAUCAAGAAUUUCUUGUUACUACCAUUAUUUCCAUGUACAACAAUCAAUGGUAUGUACAUUUAUCGAUCCUGCAUGCUCUGGUGUUCUGUUUGGCGGGCAUGCUUCCAAACAAAAACUUUGCUAGGUCUUACUUUCAGGGGAUGCCUUAUAUUUAGCAAUUCAGCAAAACCUCGACUAAGUCUUAUUUUCAGGGGAUGUCUUAUUUUCAGGGAAAUAGGGUAUUAUUAUUAUAUGGUGCCAGAAGAACAUGACAGACCUAAGGACAGCUUCCUUGAGAUGCCAUGCUAAAUCUUCCUUCACUUUCUCUCUCUAGGUUCUUCCAGAUCUCCCCACGAGUGAUCUCUCCCUUAAGAUUACCAUUGGAGCAAGCCCUGUCAUUGCCUUCGACACUACUGGUGGCAAUGUGACUCUCAUUGCUGACGUUGAGAUCUUGAGCAAGAAGGCAGAUGGAUCUAAAGUUUCUGUAGUUGCCGUGAGAUGUGUGAGUAGUAGUACAUUCAUAAAGAAAGGCUCUUCUUCUUUGUGGGGUCAGAAAUCUUGAACCCUGGAUGGAUUCUGUCAUGACAAUGGGAAGUGGGGAUCUAACCACCUUUUUCUCCCCAGUGACCAUUUUAUGUAUUUGCAGCGUAUUUCCUUGAAAGCUACGAUCUCUCUGGUCAAUGGUAAACUGAUCCUAGGCCUCUCACUCUCGAAGAACAUGUUCACACUGGUAUCUUCAGGCGCUGGCAUCACAGAUAUUAGCAGUCUUCUCGGCCCCAUCAAUGGCUUAGUGAAUGAAGUCAUUUUGCCUGUUUUGAAUGGACCUCUUUCUAAUGGACUACCUCUGCCUACAAUGCUAGGCAUUCCCCUGCUGAAUGCGACCAUCAAAACAGUUGUGAACGCCCUUGUGAUUUGCCUGUAAAAGCAGAGGACAGUCAAGCGGAAGCAUCUCCGCACAAAACGCCAGCCAGCAAAGGAUGCAAAGCUCUUCUAUGAAUAU